GUUCUGAUAGCUUAAAUAAAGCAUAACAUUGAAGCUGUUAAUAUGAAGAAAACUCUCUCAGAACA
Molecule: transfer RNA, 65 nt
Filed under: Hemipodia simplex
Lineage: Eukaryota; Metazoa; Annelida; Polychaeta; Phyllodocida; Glyceridae
Description: tRNA-Phe
Source: RNAcentral